Molecule: transfer RNA, 77 nt
Filed under: Sphingomonas kaistensis
Lineage: Bacteria; Pseudomonadati; Pseudomonadota; Alphaproteobacteria; Sphingomonadales; Sphingomonadaceae
Also listed under: 5 other names
Description: tRNA-Arg
Rfam family: tRNA
About the family: Transfer RNA (tRNA) molecules are approximately 80 nucleotides in length.
Source: RNAcentral
CCGCUCCUAGCUCAACUGGAUAGAGCGUCGGGCUUCGAACCCGAAGGUUGGGGGUUCGAGCCCCUCGGAGCGGGCCA